Molecule: ribosomal RNA, 314 nt
Filed under: uncultured bacterium
Lineage: Bacteria
Description: bacterial SSU rRNA
Rfam family: Bacterial small subunit ribosomal RNA
Source: RNAcentral
GAUGAACGCUAGCUACAGGCUUAACACAUGCAAGUCGAGGGGCAGCAUGAACUUAGCUUGCUAAGUUUGAUGGCGACCGGCGCACGGGUGAGUAACACGUAUCCAACCUGCCGAUGACUCGGGGAUAGCCUUUCGAAAGAAAGAUUAAUACCCGAUGGCAUAGUUCUUCCGCAUGGUAGAACUAUUAAAGAAUUUCGGUCAUCGAUGGGGAUGCGUUCCAUUAGCUUGUUGGCGGGGUAACGGCCCACCAAGACAUCGAUGGAUAGGGGUUCUGAGAGGAAGGUCCCCCACAUUGGAACUGAGACACGGUCCAA